This 1578-nucleotide unclassified non-coding RNA is filed under the name Hevea brasiliensis (rubber tree). The record is from RNAcentral. Lineage: Eukaryota; Viridiplantae; Streptophyta; Magnoliopsida; Malpighiales; Euphorbiaceae.
UUCAGAUUUUGACCCGCCUGCAGUUGAAGACCAUCCGUCUGACAGGCUUAUCUCAGCGCAUCAUGAUCGCCCUUUCAGAAAUUCACAGCAGCUACGAUCUGCUCCAAAAAGUGAACAGCCAAUUGCCACACUACGUAGAGUAUGUGGAAAUGAUAGAUGCGCUGACUGUGGUGCUGCUGAACCAGAUUGGGCAUCUUUAAAUCUUGGUGUUCUUGUUUGUAUUGAAUGUUCAGGUGUUCAUCGUAAUCUUGGUGUGCAUAUAUCAAAGGUGAGGUCACUCACACUUGAUGUCAAAGUGUGGGAGCCUUCUGUUAUAGCUUUAUUUCAGUCGUUGGGGAAUACCUUUGCAAAUUCAGUCUGGGAAGAGUCACUGCAAGCUCGAGGUGCUUUCCAAGUUAAUGUUUCCGCUGCCAGCUCAUACAGAUCUGAUAAACAGCAACAGCUCUACAUCAGCAAGCCAAGUCAUGCUGAUCCCAUUUCAACCAAGGAGAAAUUCAUCCAUGCAAAGUAUGCAGAUAAAUCAUUUGUUCGUCGGACCAAGGAUGGUCACACUGUGGCACAAAUGAUGUGGGAGGCUGUUCGAGCUAAUGAUAAGAAAGCUGUGUAUCGCCUUAUUGUAAGCUCUGAAGCAGAUGUUAAUGCUCUUUACAAGCAAGUUGUGUCUAAUUCUUCCUUAACCCUUGCUAAAGUAAUGCUGUUACAAGAACUACCAUACACUGAUCAGAGUUCAACUUGCUUAGAAAUGGACUUGGCAAGUCCAAGUGAGAGGCUUAUAGUUGGGGACUUCAAUGGGUGCUCCCUUCUACACCUUGCUUGUCAAACAGCUGACCUAGGGAUGCUAGAGCUUCUUAUGCAGUACGGUGCAAAUGUAAAUGCUUCAGAUUCAAGUGGUCAGACACCACUUCAUUGGUGCAUUAUAAGAGGCAAAGCUGCAUUUGCUAAGUUGCUUAUUGCAAGGGGUGCUGAUCCACAUGCUUUGGAUGGGGAAAGUAAAACCCCUUACGAUCUUGCAUUGGGCUCAAAUUUUGAUGACGUUGAUGUCCUUAAUCUCUUGUCAGACACAAAUGCUUAAUACAUUCAAGAGAGUAUAUAUCAAAACGUGGACAGAGAUUGAAGCUGUACCCUUGGUUUGAAAUGAAACCAGGGUUUCAGUUCUUUGUAAUUAUGUUAGUAAAUUUUGUGCUCACAGAUCUCCAUUGAAAGACACCGCCACUUGUGCAUUAAGGGCCCUUGACGUUGCAUGUUGUGGUCUGCAAGAUUCCUGGGGACUACACGUCCGAAUCUUGUAUUGAAGUAUAAUGUUAGGGUGGUCUUUCAUGCUUGAUUUUGGAGGUCAGAUGCAUUGGAGGUUCUAGGCAUUGGCUUUGGGUGCUGGUAUUUUGUGUACAUUUUGCUGUUAAUUUAACUUUUGUGGUGUAGCCUUUGUAGUUUGUAUAUCUAAAUCUAAGUGUUAUUUUAACUGAGGGAAAAGGAUUUGCUUGCCUGUCCCUUCACUGGUUUAGUACAUUUGGUGGUGUAUCUAAAUCAAAUGAACUUGCCCUCUGGUUUGUCCAGAGGUAAGUCUUAUUGUUAUUGUGA